GAUGAACGCUGGCGGCGUGCCUAAUACAUGCAAGUCGAGCGAACAGACGAGGAGCUUGCUCCUCUGACGUUAGCGGCGGACGGGUGAGUAACACGUGGAUAACCUACCUAUAAGACUGGGAUAACUUCGGGAAACCGGAGCUAAUACCGGAUAAUAUAUUGAACCGCAUGGUUCAAUAGUGAAAGACGGUUUUGCUGUCACUUAUAGAUGGAUCCGCGCCGCAUUAGCUAGUUGGUAAGGUAACGGCUUACCAAGGCAACGAUGCGUAGCCGACCUGAGAGGGGGAUCGGCCACACUGGAGCGGAGACGCGGUCCAGACUCCUGCGGGAGGCAGCAGUAGGGAAUCUUCCGCAAUGGGCGAAAGCCUGACGGAGCAACGCCGCGUGAGUGAUGAAGGUCUUCGGAUCGUAAAACUCUGUUAUUAGGGAAGAACAAAUGUGUAAGUAACUAUGCACGUCUUGACGGUACCUAAUCAGAAAGCCACGGCUAACUACGUG
Molecule: ribosomal RNA, 497 nt
Filed under: uncultured bacterium
Lineage: Bacteria
Description: partial 16S ribosomal RNA
Rfam family: Bacterial small subunit ribosomal RNA
Source: RNAcentral